RNAcentral lists this ribosomal RNA (459 nucleotides) under uncultured bacterium. Its description in RNAcentral is "bacterial SSU rRNA". It matches the Rfam family "Bacterial small subunit ribosomal RNA", at positions 11 to 453 of the family's 1533-position model. The record is from RNAcentral.
GUUUGAUCCUGGCUCAGGAUGAACGCUGGCGGCGUGCCUAACACAUGCAAGUCGGACGGGGUCUUAGUACGGAAGUUUUCGGAUGGGAGGAUUAAGACUUAGUGGCGGACGGGUGAGUAACGCGUGGGUAACCUGCCCUGUACAGGGGGAUAACAGUUGGAAACGGCUGCUAAAACCGCAUAACAUGGAGAUACCGCAUGAUAUUUCCAUCAAAUAUUUAUAGGUACAGGAUGGGCCCGCGUCUGAUUAGCCAGUUGGCAGGGUAAUGGCCUACCAAAGCGACGAUCAGUAGCCGGCUUGAGAGAGUGACCGGCCACAUUGGGACUGAGACACGGCCCAAACUCCUACGGGAGGCAGCAGUGGGGGAUAUUGCACAAUGGGGGAAACCCUGAUGCAGCGACGCCGCGUGAGAAAGGGAGUAUUUCGGUAUGUAAAGCUCUAUCGGCAGGAAGAAAAAAA